CGUUUUCAUUGGGUUUGUAAAAUCUGUUUUUAUGCAUGUUUUGGUCUGAGUUUUUGUUGCAUUGACACAGUUUUGACCAGCAGGAGUCACCAGCGUGUGGUGUUUGCUUCGAAAUGGUUCGUUUCUCCCAUCACUACUACCCUUCUAACACUUUCUGUCAUCCAAUCAGGUUUCAGCUCAGCCUCUAAGUCCCUCCUCUCAGCAAGCAGCCCAGGAGCUUAGCUCCGCGCAGCUGACCCCUGUGACCCUCGCUCAGGGCCAGCCUCUACAGACGUCCACCAGUCAGACACAAGGUGCUGCACAGCAUGCGUACCUUCCCAGCAACUGGAACUACAGGAGUUAUCCUGAGAUCCAGAUGAUGGCUCUUCCUCAUACUCAGUAUGUGAUAGCAGAGGCCAGCACCCCCGUCACUGCUGCCGUCAACAGCAGUCAGGUCAAAACGACACACUAUGUGAUCGCAGAAGGACAGACGGAGCUGGAUGGUAAGCAGGUGAAUGUCCCGUCCACCGCAGCACAGGUUCACCCCGACCCACUGGAGCAGCCGGCCGUCAGUCAGCAGACCACCACGCAGUACAUCAUCACCACCACCACCA
Molecule: long non-coding RNA, 593 nt
Filed under: Sinocyclocheilus grahami
Lineage: Eukaryota; Metazoa; Chordata; Actinopteri; Cypriniformes; Cyprinidae
Description: lncRNA (ENSSGRG00000032200.1)
Source: RNAcentral